This 75-nucleotide transfer RNA is filed under the name Bacillota bacterium. RNAcentral describes it as "Firmicutes bacterium (anaerobic digester metagenome) tRNA-Val". It matches the Rfam family "tRNA". From Rfam's summary of the family: Transfer RNA (tRNA) molecules are approximately 80 nucleotides in length. Their secondary structure includes four short double-helical elements and three loops (D, anti-codon, and T loops). Further hydrogen bonds mediate the characteristic L-shaped molecular structure. tRNAs have two regions of fundamental functional importance: the anti-codon, which is responsible for specific mRNA codon recognition, and the 3' end, to which the tRNAs corresponding amino acid is attached (by aminoacyl-tRNA synthetases). tRNAs cope with the degeneracy of the genetic code in two manners: having more than one tRNA (with a specific anti-codon) for a particular amino acid; and 'wobble' base-pairing, i.e. permitting non-standard base-pairing at the 3rd anti-codon position. The record is from RNAcentral. Lineage: Bacteria; Bacillati; Bacillota.
GGGCGACUAGCGCAGUGGGGGAGCACCUGCCUUACAAGCAGGGGGUCGGGGGUUCAAAUCCCUCUUCGCCCACCA